Molecule: long non-coding RNA, 4575 nt
Organism: Homo sapiens (human)
Lineage: Eukaryota; Metazoa; Chordata; Mammalia; Primates; Hominidae
Exons: 3
Source: RefSeq, a predicted model, not a curated record
UUUAGCUUAUUGUCUAUUUCCAAUCAAUACAUUCUAGAGAGUCUAUUCACAGGAAAACCUGAUAUAUAUAUCGCAUUUCCUGACUUCACUAUGCACAGACCAUAUUUCUUCUUGACAUGUUACUAUUUGUUAAUUACUUACUAUUAUUCUUACACAUCACUCUUUCGUAAUUUCUAAUCUUUCUCUCUUAUAGGACCCAGUGGCUGUCUUGAUGUCUCACAGCAGGAAGAGACUCUCUCAAAUAGGUGUACACAUGGGGAGAGAGAGAGCAAGGAGACUGAGAUACAAUCAGCCACCAGCAAGUUGUCUUGAUUUUCUGAAUGGAGCGUGGUAGCAUGUUAUAGAGUCCAAGGAAUUUGCCAAAUCCGUGUGAGAAGAUUUGCCUCUCACAUGUGAGAGAAUUUUUUGAGAAAAAAAAGAUCCUGACCCCGUCCCUCUGCCACCACCCGAGUGAGGAAGACUGACAGAGCACAUUGGCUUGCUGUGGAGACAAGAUCAGGGAAAGCGCCCCUGAAAAGAAAGCAUUUUGGAAGUCCUGAAGGUGGAGAAGGAGAUUUAGAGGAAGAGUGAUAAAUCAGAAGUCUUCGUCCAAGAAUUAGCUUUGCACCAUCUACAGACCUAAGCAGCUGCAGUUCUGGAGGCUGGGAAGUCCAAGAUCAAGGCAUUGACAGGUUCACCUUGUGGUGAGUGUCCAACUACUGCUGGUAAAAAGUGCCUUGAAUGCUGCAUACUUUGGAGGUAAGGAACUCUGUAUCAUCACAUGGCAGAAGGUGAAAGGGUGAAAAGAAGUAAACUUUGUCUGUCAAGCCCUUUAAUGAGAGCACCUUAAACCCAUUCAUGAGGGAGGAGCUAUCAGGGCCUAAUCACCUUUUAAAGGCCACAUCUCUUAUGACUAUCAUAUUAUCAACAUCUGAAUUUUGGAGGUGGCACAUUCAGACCAUAGCACAGGCCCUGGAGUACCUAGGUGAGAAGAUCAGUGUACACUUCUGCUGACUGUUUGGACAUUGGCCAUCACUGUAAAAGGGCUGACCCCUGAGUGAAGCUCCAUGUCCUCCCAUUCUGUUCUAGAUGAUCAGAUUCCACUUAAAUGCAUUUUAAAGCUGAAUAACAGCAGGUUUUCUUCUUUAAUGUUAACACUCAUAGCACACCAAUAUAUAAAUAAAUAAGAAUAACCUGUCAUAUGCUUUGUAAUAUAGGUUCUUAAUUUUUAUUCUCUCUGAUGGUGAAGGUGUGAGCAGAAGAAAUCUGUGCCGAAAGAAUAGCAGAACUUAGAUAAAUCACAAACAUCCAGUAUUUUCCAAUAUUGGUUUCUCCUUUCCUCCAUUUUCCCUUCCUGGAAGACUCUACUGGAUGUCUUAGUGUACCUCAGAGGUGAGUUUCUCUGUAAAGUCUUCAGCAAUCUUCUGCGCACAGAACUAUCCUCUUUCCCUUCAUUCUCCAAUGGCAUUUUAUGCAUGCUUUUAUUAUAACAUUUAUUAUGCUUUAAGAUGAGAGAGGAUAAGUAUCAGUUUUUACUGCCUGUAUCAAAAUGUGUCUUCUUGAGAACAUAGUAUGUUACUUACUUUUAAACCUCCUCACCUAACAGCACCUGACUCAGAGUGAGAUUUGGGGUUUACUCAGUCAAUAUUUGUAGUAUUUGUUGGUUAAAUGAUAGGCCACCAGAAUGCUGUCUGGAGUAUGUAACUACUUCUGCAUGGUGAUAGUAGCACACAAAAUAUGAAAUGGAAAUUAAAACAUUUCAAAACCUUUCCACCUCUAACUCACUGAGGUAAACAAUUUAAUACCAUGAUGUUCCCUUUCACAAUGUUUUCCAUAUUGUAUUAGUUAACGAUUGCGGUGUAGCAAAUUUCUCAGGGGCUUAGCCUUCACAAAAACAAUAAAUAUUUAUUAUACCGCAGUUUUAGAAGGACAGGAAUCCAGGAGCAGCUUGGCUGGGUUGUUCAGGCUCAGUCUCUCAUGUGGUUGCCAUUAAAAUGUUGACUGGGGCUGCAGGGUUUAACUAGAGCAAGAGAAUCUGCUUCUUAUGUCACUGUUGGCUGAGGCAUUAGCUUCUCACUGGGCUGGUUCUCAGUGGGAGGCCUCAGUUCCUUUCCACGUAAAACUCUCCACACAGCUGCUUGAGAGGCCUCACAACAUGACGCCUGGUUUCCCCCAGAAAAGCCAGUUCAGUAAAAAGAGCCAGGCAUAAACUGCAGUCACAUGCCAUCACUUCUGCUGUGUGGUCUUGGUCCCGAGACCAACUCUAAUACCAUGCAUUAUACAAGGGUAUGAGUAUCAAGAGUCAGGGGCCACUGGGGGCCAUCUUGGAGGCUGGCUACCAUCCAUAUAGGGUUUUUGGUUUUUAUAAAAAAUCUAAUGAUGCUAUAUACAUUUAUUUGCAACAUUUUUUCACAUGUAAAUACUUCACUACCCUUUCUCCAGGUUGGUAGAUAUGAAUGGAACUAAGUCAUUCUUUACAUUGUAGCUGACGUUAUAAUACAUUUAUUUCAGACCUAUUAAUUCUCAUUGUUUUCUAUUUCAAUAAAGUAAUACAUAUUCUUGCAUAUUUAUUUUCAUUUUAUAGAGGCUACCAAAAGUAAACAUACUUGAUCAAAAAUAUCAAAAAUAGCAUUUUGUUUUUUCUAUUUCCAUAGACAUUACUACAUUUCAAAAGAGUGACAAUAUUUAUUUUGCACCAACUAUGCACAAAAGUACUUGUUUUCCCAUAUCCUCUUCAGCACUGGAUAAUUUUUUAUAUACAUUUUGUCAUUUUGAUGUGCAAGAGAAAUCUCUCAUUUUUCAUUUAAUAUGCUUAUUUCACUAUUAGUGAGCUUGAGCACUUAAUGUAUGUAUUGACUUUAUGCCUUAUCUUUUCUGAAUAUUGUCUACUUGUAACCUUUCCUUCUCUUUUUCUCAUCAAUUUCUAUGGAGCGUUUGGUAUUUGCACACAGCAAGAAAUAUAAUUUUAAUUAUUUUUGCUCUGAAAAAUUUAUAGUAUAGUCUCCUUAAAAGAAUAUUAGCAUCUAUUUCAUCACCUUUUUGAGUUGAUAUACCUAAAAGUCUACCAGGUUUCAUAGGGAUCAAACAUAUACAGAAAUAUUUUAUGUCUUAUUUCUAGGGAACUUAAGAUUGGAUGAGAACGUGGCUAUUGACAUUACUAAGCUGAUUCACCUACCCCAGAAAGUGGCAAAUUAAGCAGUCUGUUGACUUUAAGAUUACCUUGGAGAUAGAUCACAGAAUUUAAAAUGCAGUCACUCAGAAAGCAAAAUUGCUUGGGAAUAAAAGGCAAUAAUUACUAUCACUCUUUCUGCAACUAGUGAAAUAUAAAAAGAAAAAAAACCACCUCCCACUCUAAACCUUGAAGCCUCAGCAAAUAUUCAGAGACUCUUCAGAUUGCAUAUUGUGAUCAAAGCAGCAAUCCUUAGAGUAAGCAGAAACUGCAAACUUCCCUCUCUCUGUGUGUUUUAAAUCCCAAACUACUUUGAUUGCUUUUCUGUCUAAACACAAUAAACACCCUUGACCUUGAAUUAUACUGUUAGGAGAUAAACAUCUGGUAUCUGGAAGAGAGCACUAAAAAUGAAUUCUUUGCUCUCUGGCAUCUUAAUGAACAAUGACCAGUAACAAAUCAAUAAAGAUAGUAUGACAAGCUGUGAUUAAGCGAGUUUUAGAUAAAAUCUCCAAAUAAUCAAUGUUUAAUAUAUUGGCUAUCUAAAAGUACAUCUCUGGGAUUACUGCUGCACUGUUUAGGAGUUAGUUUGGGUAAAUUACCAGUGGGGAAUUGGGAAAAGAGAACACAACAAAUUGUUUUAUAUUCCUGGCAAUAUUAUAAAGAAUAUUCUUAUAUUUUAAUUUCUUACCAUGUUAUUUGGGAGAAUUUUCUGGUAAGAAUCACAGUGGUUUUAAUUACUUGGCAAAUAGAUUCUUUAUUUCCACAGACUAGUCCCUGAUACUAUCACUGAAGAUCAGUGAAGUCCCAUUGACAACCCCUUUUUCCCACUGUCACCACUCUGUCCUCAUAGUACAGUAUAAAAGUCUGGAUUAUUGUUCAUAGAUAUUUGUUGUCCUUUCAGAAUCCCAACAGAAGACAGCUGGUGUGUCUAUGUUAAGAUAAACUUAGGUGUUGUUAUUUACAAAGAUAUGAUUUACAAAGGCAAGGUGGAAUGUAGCCAGUCUGGAAUUAUUAUAGUACAGGUUGAGCAUCCCUAACCUGAAAAUCUAAAAUCUGAAAUGCUCCAAAGUUCAAAACACAAUGCCGCAAGUGUAAAAUUUCACAUCUGACCUCAUAUGAUGGGCUAUGGUCAAAACACUGUCCUAACUUUCUUUACAUGCACAAAAUUAUUUAAAACAUUAUAUAAAAUUAUCAUCAGUCUAUGUGCAUGAAGUGUAUAUGAAACAUAACUGAAUUUCACAUUUAGAUUUGGAUCCUACCCUCAAGAUAUCUCAUUGUAUAUAUGCAAAUAUUCCAAAAUCCAAAAAGAUGUGAAAUCUGGAACACUAAUGGUCCCAGGCAUUUCAGAUAAUGGAUACUCACCCUGUGUUUAAGACUCAGAUUGAUUUAAAUGGGAAAGAUUGUUUUGAAGUAUCAGAUAUACUUUA